Phyllopteryx taeniolatus (common seadragon) is the source of this 7615-nucleotide RNA transcript. It is a transcript of the gene named eph receptor A7, with no coding region annotated. The transcript is spliced from 18 exons. The record is from RefSeq and is a predicted model, not a curated record. Lineage: Eukaryota; Metazoa; Chordata; Actinopteri; Syngnathiformes; Syngnathidae.
CAAAUACAAUUCCUCUCUUUGGGAGGUAGUGAUUCAUUGCUACACGGGCAAGGGGCUCACAGUGAAUGUUAACCAUCCACAGAUAGAGGGCGCAAAACACGACUUUCCUCGGGUGAGAGUGGGUGUGUGUGUGUGUGUGUGUGAGAGAGAGAGAGAGAGAGAGAGAGAGCGAGCGCAAACUGGCCGUGUCCUUGUUUGACGAAAUCCACAUCUCAAUUCUUGCGCUGACCAUGUCCCCCACCCUUGCGUGAUUUGCCCUCCCCUUUUUCCUCCCACAUGAUUUCUUUCUAAGGCUAUAAUUGGACAACUCUCCCAUUUUUCUCUAUGCUCAUCGUCAGUGUCCCCUCCCAGCAGCAGCAGCAGCACUUCACAUUUCAACUGUGGGGAACAACGUUAUUUGGAGCAUCCAGCCGGCUCCGUAUGGGAAGCACAAUCGUAGGCGGCGAUACAGCGAGUUACUGGGGGGGUUUACAUUGAGAAACACAGCUCCAGCAUGCUCUCCGCCUUCAUCUCCUGCCAGUGGAUUACGUUUUACUUUCAUUUAUGUUCUUUAGUAAGUCUUGGUGAAGCACAAUCUGCAAAGGAAGUGGUUCUUUUGGACUCCAAGGCACAGCAGACAGAAUCGGAGUGGAUCUCCUAUCCUCCCAAUGGGUGGGAAGAGAUCAGCGGCUUGGAUGAGAGCUACACACCCAUUCGCACAUACCAGGUUUGCAAAGUCAUGGAGCCCAAUCAAAAUAACUGGCUUCGGACUAACUGGAUCGAAAAGGGCAAUGCCCAGAGAAUUUUUGUGGAGCUGAAGUUUACCUUAAGGGAUUGUAACAGCUUACCUGGUAUGGUGGGCGCUUGCAAGGAGACGUUCAACUUGUAUUACCAGGAAACGGCUUCGGAGAUGGGCAGGAGUAUGCGAGAGAACCAGUAUGUUAAAAUUGACACAAUUGCAGCAGAUGAAAGCUUCACUCAGGGCGACUUAGGUGAGAGGAAGAUGAAGCUCAACACUGAAGUGCGCAUCAUUGACUCCCUGUCCAGGCAGGGCUUUUACCUGGCCUUUCAAGAUGUAGGGGCAUGCAUUGCCUUGGUCUCUGUCAAAGUUUAUUACAAGAAGUGCUGGUCCAUCAUCGAGAACCUGGCCAUAUUCCCAGACACUGUGACAGGAUCGGAGUUCUCAUCCCUCGUGGAGGUCAAGGGAAUAUGUGUAAACAAUGCGGAGGAGGAUGCUGACAACUCUCCCAUGAUGCACUGCAGCGCUGAAGGGGAAUGGCUGGUGCCCAUUGGGAAAUGCAUAUGCAAAGCGGGAUUUCAUCAGAAAGGAGAAUCAUGUGAACCAUGUGGUCGUGGUUACUACAAGAGUUCCUCCCAGGACCUACAAUGCUCUCGCUGCCCAAUGCACAGUUUUAUUGACCGUGAGGGCUCCUGGCGCUGUGACUGUGAUGACGGCUACUACCGCGCUUUUGCUGAUCCUCCUCCUGUGGCUUGCACAAGACCUCCUUCCGCGCCGCAGAAUCUAGUCUACACCAUCAAUCAGACGACACUUAGUCUGGAGUGGGGUCCGCCAGCUGAUACUGGUGGCCGCAACGAUGUCACCUACAGGGUUCAGUGCCGGCACUGUAGCUGGCAACCUGAAGACUGUAAACCAUGUGGGCCAAACGUCGGAUACCUCCCUGCACAGUCACAAUUAGUGGAUACUUAUGUGAACAUCCUUGACCUCUUGGCCCAUGCAAACUACACUUUCGAGGUGGAAGCUGUCAACGGGGUGUCUGAUCUAAGCCGCACGCAGAGGCUGUUUGCUACAGUUACCAUCGCCACUGGACAAGCAGUUCCAUCCCAGGUCAGUGAGGUCAUCAAGGAGAAAGUGCAACAGCGCAGCAUCCAGCUUUCAUGGCAGGAGCCCCGGCAACCCAAUGGGGCCAUCACAGAAUAUGAAAUCAUAUACUAUAAAAAAGAUCAGAAGGACCAAACCUAUUCGACUGUGAGGGCCAAAUCCACAUCAGCAACUGUGAACAAUCUGAAGCCCAGUACAGCCUAUGUUUUCCAGAUCAGAGCCUUGACACAGGCAGGAUAUGGAACGUUUGGCCCCAGAUUAGAGAUAAUGACAAAGGAAGAGGCAACAGCUGCAAUUGUCUCCAGCGAGCAGAACCCUGUCAUCAUCAUAGCAGUGGUAGCAGUGGCAGGAACCGUAAGCCUGGCGUUCAUGGUGUUUGGCUUUAUCGUCGGGAGAAGGCACUGCGGGUACAGUAAAGCGGACCAAGACGGAGACGAGGAGCUUUACUUUCAGUUUAAAUUUCCAGGCACCAAAAUGUAUAUUGACCCUAAAACCAAUGGAGACCCCAACAGAGCUGUCCAUCAAUUUGCCAAGGAGCUGGAUGCGUCCUGCAUAAAAAUUGAACGGGUUAUUGGAGCAGGACAGUUCGGCGAGGUGUGCAGUGGUUGGCUCAAAGUACCUGGAAAGCGGGACACUUCAGUCGCCAUCAAAACAUUAAACGUGGGUUACACAGAGAAGCAGAAAAUGGACUUUCUGUGUGAGGCCAGCAUAAUGGGACAGUUCGACCAUCCCAAUGUUGUACAUCUUGAGGGGGUAGUGACAAGAGGAAAACCAGUGAUGAUUGUUAUAGAGUUCAUGGAGAAUGACUCAUUAGAUGCCUUCCUAAGAACACAUGGUGGUCAGUUCACAGCCAUUCAGUUGGUUGGGAUGCUGCGGAACAUAGCAGCAGGAAUGAGAUAUCUCGCCGAUACUGGAUACGUCCAUCGAGAUCUGGCUGCUCGAAACAUCCUUGUGAACAGCAAUCUUGUAUGUAAAGUGUCUGACUUUGGCCUGUCCAGGAUAAUAAAUGAUGAUCCUGAAGCUGUCUACUCAACAACCGGUGGGAAAAUAUCAGUCCGGUGGACAGCUCCUGAAGCCAUCCAGUUCCGUAAAUUCACAUUUGCAAGCGAUGUGUGGAGUUAUGGCAUUGUCAUUUGGGAGGUCAUGUCCUUUGGAGAAAGGCCAUACUGGGACAUGUCCAAUCAAGAUGUCAUGAAAGCUCUAGAGGAGAGCUACCGUCUUCCAGCGCCAAUGGACUGUGCCCCAGGCCUACAUCAGCUUAUGUUGGAUUGUUGGAAGAAAGACAGAGGAGAACGUCCCAAAUUUGAUCAGAUAGUCAGCAUUCUUGACAAGAUGAUUCGGAACCCAAACACACUGAAAACACCAGUUGGAACCUCUACAAGGUUGACAGCUCUGGAUACACCCUCGCUUGCUGUGAGAACCAUGGCAAAACAGGACUAAAUGCCCACCAAACAGCUGAAUGUGACACGACUUGAAAAGACUGAAAUGUACGACGGACCACCUCCAAGUUUUGAUACGGCCUAUUACGUACUCUCAGUGCAAGAGUGGCUGGAAGCUAUCAAGAUGGAGCGAUACAGAGACAACCUUACAGCAGCUGGCUGCAGUUCCCUGGAAUCUGUGGCCAGGAUGUCAACUGAGGAGGUCACGAGGUUGGGUAUCACACUGGUGGACCAUCAGAAAAAGAUGAUGAACAGCAUUCAAAUAAUCAGAUCCCAGAUGUUGCAGCUUCAAAGUACAGGUGUUCAGGUCUGAUCAGAGCAAAUAUGGAAAUGUUGUAUGAAAUGGAACCUGGUUUGAAUCAGAAUAAGUGGACAUCUGAUAUCGGAUCCCUGCAGCUGCAACCAGUGGGGGAAAAAAGAUCGUGGGCACCAAGUCGAGGAAGAAAUGCAAAAAAAACAACAAUAGCAAUAUCUCUUGUUUUUUUUUUCAAAUGAGCUACCGAAAAUAUAUGAAAUGAAUUGAAAAUAAUGUUUUUACCAUUAAUGACUGAGUCACCUGCACACUAUGGCAAUGUUUUUCUCUUUUUUUUUUUUUUUGCCAUGGUGUGUACAUAAUUCCCAUUUCCUUCUACUUAGACUUGGAAACAGGGUAUCCUCAUUAUUAUUCUAUAUGGAGGAAACCUCCAAAAGGUGCAUUUUCUAUUGGCACAUUAGGAGAUUAUCUGAAACUUCAUUUUGUUUUGUUUUAAAAUGCAUUUCAAUUGGAAUCCUUGGUAAAGUGUGCAAUACUGAUGUUUUUCUUGACAGAACUCCUUGACUCUUUAUCAAAGUACAAAAAGUAAUACUAUAAGAAUUUAUCACAAAGACUUGAACCAACAAUCACCUCCCAAUUUUGCCGAAAUAUUGCACAUCUCUGAUACUUCAUAGACUAUGAUUUUAAUGUGGCAGCAAAGACUCAUAAAGUCAGAAAAAGAAACUUGCGUAAUCUCAACUCAUACGUUUGGGAAGUCACCAAAUUGCGUGAGGAUACAAAGAACCUGACCGGAAGGCCACUGUUUAGAACUCAAGCCACCGUCAAGAGUUUUAUGAAAUAAAUUCACAAAUACCAACCUUAGCCCGACGAAUGGCUAAUGCACACACUCCUAACAAUAUUGAGAGGAACAAAUACAAGUAAAGACUGUCAAUCAAGGUUGGCCUGUUUUCCUUGUUGUAUGUCUGAGCGAAAACUCGCACUGCAAGAACACAAUGUAAAGUGCUAGUGUGCAGAGAAGGAAUAAACUAAAUGACGCAAUAAUUACCAGGUUAAAAAAAACGAACUCCACUUGAGAUUUCUAAGGUGCUAGUCGUGUGUGCUGAUAGGAUAUGACAUUUUUGGAAAGCACUAUUCAGUCACUAGAAUGUUUAUAUUUGUAUCCACCAAAUAUGCUGCCUGAUACGGUCAAUAUACGGUUGAGGAUAUUAAAAAUGGAGCUAUUGUAUAUGGCCAGACAUGGAUUCCAAUGUUGAACAUCUGCGGUGUUCAUUCGUUAGGACUGCAAAUGAUGUGAAAUGCAAUUAAUUUACUCCGUGUGUCUAUGAAUAGCAGAAACUAGAGGUUUUGCAGCAAAUUAUUGUUCCAUCACCUCAAACCUCCAAAACAUUUCCAGUUGAGCGUUUACAAAGUCUUCUCGAAGAAAGACGAGGAAAAGCUGUUAUUGCAUUGACUUUGUUUAUCAAGAUAUAAACAAUAAUAUAUAAUGCAAGGAAACGUACAGUAUGGACUUACUAAUGUAUGAAUAAAGCAGCAAACAAAAUGUUUUGAGGACAUGUGCAACGCUGUUUUCUUCUGAUGUGCCACUCAAUCUGCUCUAAAUACUGAACCCAAUUCCAAUGAAGUUAGGACAUGUAAAAAUGUCAAUUGAAACAGAAUACAACGAUUUGCAAAUUCUUUUCAACAUAUAUCAAAUUGAAUGAACUCAAAACAACAUAUUUGUUUCAAGUGAAAAAAUGGUUUUCUAGCGACUCUUCACUCAUUUUGAAUUUGAUGCCUGCAACACCUUCCAAAAAAGCUGGGACAGGGGCAUGUUACAUCACACUCAACAAGCGUUUGGGAACUGAGGACACUAAUUGUUCAAGCUUUGGAGGUGGAAUUAUUUCACAUUCUUGCUUGAUGUACAACUUAAGUCGAGGAUCUCCAUUGUCAUAUUUGACCCUUCAUAAUGCGCCGCACACUUUCAAUGGAAGACAUGUAGUCUAGCCCACACACUCUUUGACCAUGAAGCCACACUGUUGUAACAUGUGCAAACCAUGGCUUGGCAUUGUCUUGCUGAAAUGAGCAGGGAGGUCCCUGAAAAAGACAUUAGCAGGAUAGCAGCAUCUCUCUCUCUCUCCAAAACCUGUAGGUACCUUUCAGCAUUAAUGGUGCCUUCGCAGAUGUGCAAGUUACCCAUGCCAUGGCUGCUAACACAGCCCCAUACCAGAGGCUGGCUUUUGAAAUUUGUGCUGAUAAAAAUCGGGAUGGUCCUUUUCAUCUUUGGCCCUAAGGACACUACGUCCAUGAUUUCCCAAAACAAUUUGAAAAGUGGACUCGUCAGACCACAGAGCACUUUUCCACUCUCCAUCGGUUCAUCUCAGUUGACCUCGGGUCCAGAGAAGCCGGCAGUGUUUAUGGGUGUUGUUGAUAUAUGGCUUUUGCUUUGCAUGGUAGAGUUUUAACUUGCAUUUGUAGAUGUAGCAACGAACUAUGUUAACUGACAAUGUUUUUUUGAAGUGUUCCUGAGCCCGUUUGGCAAUAUCCUUUCCACAAUGAUGCUGGUUUUUAAUACAGUGCCGUCUGAGGGAUCGAAGGUCACAGGCUUUCGAUUAGAUUUUUGGCCUUGCCAAUUUCUCCAGAUUUUCAGAAUUUUUUGACAAUAUUAUGGACCGUAGAUGAUCAAAUCCCUGAAUUCCUUGCAAUUGUACGUUGAGAAACGUUGUUCUGAAACUGUUGGACUAUUUGCUCACGCAUUUGUUCCAAAAGUGGUGAACCUUGCACAAUGCUUGCUUGUGAACAACUGAGCCUUUCAGGGAAGGCCAUUUUAUACCCAAUUAUGACACUCACCUGUUUCCAAUUAACCUGUUCACCUGUGGAAUGUUACAAACAAGUGUUGUUGUUUUUCUAGCAUUCUUCAACUUUCCUAGUCUUUUGUUGCCCCUGUCCCACAUUUUUGGGAACGUGUUGCAGGCAUCUAAUUCAAAAUGAGUGAAGAGUAGCUAGAAAACCAUUUUUUCAGUUGAAACAAAUAUGUUGUUUUUAGUUCAUUCAAUUUAAUAUAUGUUGAAAAGAAUUUGCAAAUCAUUGUAUUGUUUUUAUUUUCGUUUUACAUAAUAUCCCAACUUUAUUGGAAUUGGGGUUUGUAGCGAGAAAACUAAUACAAAAAUCAUCAGAACUCAAAAGGCUCAGCUGACAAGGCCAAGAAAAUAAAUCAAUAUCAAUACUGUAAACACAAUAUUAGGUUUUGUUUGCUCGGCGUAUUCCAUACAACCAAUUGUCCACGGUUACAUUCUGACAUCUGCAUUAUUGCUGCUUCAUUUCAGUUAAGGCAGAGAAAUAUGAAAUGUCGGAUGAAUCUUGAGAGAUAGGGAAAGUUUGAACUCACCUAUCUCCGUUCCGCCAAUCGUCUUAACCUUCCUCAAACAGAAUUAUUUUUAUUAUCUUAUUUCAUGUCCAAUAUAAACUUCAGGGUUCUUAGAUAUGGAUAAAGAUUUGUUGUGGUUUGUUACGACUAAAAUCUAAAUACAAACAUAAAAAAAUACAAAUCUUUUUUUUUUUUUUUUUUUACCUGUCCUGUUCAGCUCCAUGACCAUGCCGAAUGCUGGUAAAGUCUAAAAAUAAAAAUACUAAUCUGCUUAAACUACAAUGGUUUGAAUCACAAAUGGCAUAAAAACAAAAACCCCCAAAAUGUUUUUGACUCUGUGGUUCAGCACUGGAAAUCGUGUCAUUGCUUUGGUGACAACUGUUAGCACAGUUGUCUGUUCUAAUUGUAAAAGUUGUACAUUUUAUUUAUAUUGUUUUUCACAUAUUACUGAAUAGAGAGUUCUGAAUACAUUGAAAAUGCACUAUACAGUAUUUUUUUUAAAUAUUUUGUAGAUUGAUUACACUCACUCACAAGAUUUCAGUUGUACAGACGUUUUCAUUUAGGACCAAAGAUGACUGAUAGGAUUGGAUCUUUAUUAGUGAUGUUGUAUUCAUUUUUUGCCUUUUAAAUAUGUAGUCAUAAAAACAAUGAUGGAUUAUUUACUAUUCAAUGAACACAGUGAGAAUGAUCAACCAUUGAUUAACUUCAUCAGCAAGUCCAUUAAUUAGAUUUUUUUUUUUUUGUGGGGGGGGGGGCUUAUU